Small nucleolar RNA from Lactuca sativa (garden lettuce), 107 nucleotides. The record is from RefSeq and is a predicted model, not a curated record. NCBI's taxonomy places the organism in Eukaryota, Viridiplantae, Streptophyta, Magnoliopsida, Asterales, Asteraceae.
AGAUCAGUUUGGGGGCAAUUUUGAAGUAACCCCUUGUAACGUUCUCAUGCUUCGUAAAGUGAUUCCCCCGAUUGUUGCUCAAAGUUGGCUAUCGCCUUCUUGAGUUU